CUCUCGGUCGUCUAGUUGGUUUAUGACGUCAGACUGUAAUUGUUGUGCUCACCUCACCCGUGGCGCAUUGUGAUCUGGAUGUCGCGUGUUCGACUCACGCCUGAGAGA
This is a non-coding RNA of Sclerotinia nivalis, 108 nucleotides long. Lineage: Eukaryota; Fungi; Ascomycota; Leotiomycetes; Helotiales; Sclerotiniaceae. The record is from the annotation of a GenBank genome assembly.